RNAcentral lists this long non-coding RNA (283 nucleotides) under Dromaius novaehollandiae (emu). Its description in RNAcentral is "lncRNA (ENSDNVG00000010537.1)". The record is from RNAcentral. Lineage: Eukaryota; Metazoa; Chordata; Aves; Casuariiformes; Dromaiidae.
ACUGCUUCUUUUCCCUCCACUUUUUCAUCUCUGGGACUGCAAAACCUCUGCUAGCACAGAUAUUAGGACAAGGCUGUCAUCAGGACUGGGGAUCCACGGCAGAAGUAUUUUGGAAAAUUGUAUGUGACCUGAAAAACCUAGCUAGAAAGGGUACCAGUUCCCCAGGUGCCAAUGGCCCAACCCAAAUCCUUCUGAGGAGCCUUCUUCAGAUGUGACUGACUUCACAUCAGCUGUUUAGAAAAACUCCAGCUUCCCAGAUGCCUGAAGCAAGAAAGAUUGAAAU